UUCCCUUCUGCCACACUGGCCCAGGCACAAAAGGGGAUUCCCUGCCCAACACAUGAACUCCUUUCUGCAACUGGCAUUCUGCUCUAAAAACCAGAUUCCUUGUGAGAACUUAUCCCUAGGGAGCCCUUGCCUAACUUCUGCCUGGAACUGGAAUAUGAUAUGCAUACCUUUCAUUAUUGGCCAAGAUUUCCAUUGUGCAUAGUGAAAAGCAUAGAAGCUUUGGUAUCAGACACUCCCAGACACAAAUUCCAGCCUUAUCAAUUACUAACUGUAAAACCUCAGGCAAUCUAUGAAAAGGGAACAGUAAGGACUUCUUCACAUGAGAUCAUCUACAAAGGGCUUUGAUUAGUUCUCUCUUCCCUCUCUGAGAAGAAUUUGGGGUAGAUAUUGGUUAGGAUUUUUUUCAGUUGCUGGGAAUGGUUACUCAACUGAAAGUUAUUGAAACAGUGAGGAUAUUUACGGGUUUAUAUAAAAUAAAGUCCAGAGGCAGGAAAGCAUCAAGUCCUGUUUAUCCUAUCUAAUUAUGUCAUAAACAAGCAAGGUUUCUUCUGUCUCUCUGCAUAACCAUCCACAAAGAAGAGCUCAUCCUCAAGAAAAUUCUCUACUUGGUAGUAUGGUGGCUUUGAGGAACAAUUGGUGUUAUAUGCUUCUCUAUUUACUUUUAGAGGCAAGGAGAGUAUUUCUUCCUAAUCUUUGGAACUGAAGUUCUUCUUGUUCAUUGCUUGAACCAAUUUAAGUCAUAUGUUCUUACAUGGAUAACUUUUAUGGAGAGAUGCUAGGUGCUAAUUGGCCUAAGUUCCUGAACUACCAUGAGUCAAUGAACUACUAUAAUUGACUAAGAACCAUAAGGGCCAUUUCUAAUUCUAUCGAAAGUACCCAGUGAGGAAGGGGUGGGGUGAAUGUUGAAGAUAAGACUCUAUAGGGUGAAAAAGCCUGAACACUUGUUCACAUUCCUACUCUACAAGUACCAGUGGAGUUAUCUUUUCUGAACUUCAUUUUAUCCAUAUGAAAAUGACGUACAAAAAUAGUACCUGUCUCAUUGGCUAGUUUUGAGGAUUCAGGGAAAUAAAAUCUGUGAAACCCUUAGCAUGGAGCCUAGAAAAUGUCUACAAAUUCUAAUUUUUACUAUUUCACUAUGUGCUUCGAAAUGUGGUACCACUUCCCGCAAGAUUUGGCUGUCAUCUAAUUCCUGGAUUCCUAUCAUGGACCCCUUUGCACCAGAGUGGCUAAAUCACUAUUUAUUUCAUACCUUCUCUACCUUGUACCUGUGAUUGUUCAGCUGCUCAUAAAGGGUAGCCUGGAUUUGUUCUUUCUCUACCUGCAACACUAUCCUAUCAAAUCUCAACUAUUGAAAUAUCAACUUGUUUAGUGCCUGAGUACUAUGAUUGAUGUGGUGUGUCAGCUUGGCUAAAUUAAGGGACACCCAGAUAGCUGAUAAUGCAUUAAUUAUUCUCAGAGUUUCAGUAAGGCAUGAGUCCCUACUGAAAAUAUGCUAACCAAUAUCCAACCAGAUGGGAUAAGCCCAUCCCUUUUCAGCUGCAAGAGGUACCCAAGUGUUUUGACAUUUGAUUAGAAUGAUUGAGCUUCCUCAGGUGUGUUUGUGAUGUGUUUCUAGAGGAGAUUGGCAUGUGAGUCAGUGGACUGAGUGGGGAAGGUCUGUGCUCAGUAUAAGCAGGGAACAUCUAAUCAGCUGGUGGCCCGGCUGGAUCAAAAGGUGGAAAAAGGAUGAUUUCUUACUGUCUCUUCCAGAGUCAGGGUGUCCUACUCUUCCUGACUCUGAAUAUUGGAACUCCAUAUUUUCUGGCCUUUGAACUCUGGGACUUGUAUCCAUGGAACCCCUGAAUUCUUAGGCCUUCAGAUUGAAAGUUAUGCCCCUGGCUUUCUUCUCUACCUUGCAGAAGCAUUGACUGAGCAAGCACUGAGCCAUGCUACCAGCUCCCUGGUUCUGUAGCUUCCUGGCAGCCUAAGGUAGCACUUCUCAGCCUUCACAAUGAACUGAGUUAAUUCCCUCCUCAUGUAUCCCUAUAGAUCCGGUGAGUUCUCUCUCUCUCUGGAGAACCCUGCUGGAAACAAAGAGCAAACUAUCUUGAUAAUUUUCCUGGUAACCAAGAAAUGAUGAAUAACAAGUAUUAGCCACUGUCUGUUUAUGCCAACAGUGAAUUUUAAAAUGUCUUCUAUGGUGUUAACUGCUAAGAUGCCUACUACAAGAAUUGAAUAUUUGUAUUUGAGCUCCACAUUGGAACUAGGUCUGCUUUAUUACUAUGCCAACCAAUAUCAUUACUGCAUUGCUUACAGUCUCAUUUUGUCUUACAGAUAGAUACUAUUCAAUAUUAUACAUCCUUAGAUGUUUUAAAAUUUCUAUGGGUUUUACCGCUUUCUAAAUAGGGGCUUUCCUUUUCUGCUAUAUCUUUGUUAUCCAGAAAUACUAAACAUAUUCUUUUUUACUUUUUCUAUUUGCUUUCUUUGAUGGCAUUCAAAUUUUUUAAAAUUUAUCCAUUUACAUCCUGAAAGGUGUAAUGAAUUCCAUGGGUUUAUUAAGUUCCCAUACUUUGCUUUCUGAUCCUUUCUUUCUCUUCCUCGCCCCUCACCAUAAAAGCCUGGAAGUGACACACAACUGCAGCCCUUUGAAAAAGUGGACUGUGCUGUGGUGGCAAUAGCGAAGGACAAUCGCUCUUGGUUAUUCAAACCUUUCCAAGAGGAAGUUGAAGGCCAGUCUGUCAUAGAAGCCCAGGAAGACCCAAAGGCUACAGUGGCAGUUUCAAACUGGCAUAUGGGUCUUUGCCUAAAGGAUUUUGCAGCUUAUUUUUCUCCUUCCUGAUUGCACAUGGUAGCCCCUCUUCAGCACACAUGUGCACCAGGGCUCAGCUUCCGUGACUCCUGCCCUCCAGCCACUGCUGAAGAGAUGAACCUCUGGGAGGGAGCAAAAGGAUUAAAGGGACAAGCCUCUGAAGUUUGUAUGAAUUGGAGCACUUGGGGAGCAGAGCUUGAUUGACAUUGGAGCUUUCUCACUGACAUAUUCUGGAUCCUGUUGGGAACUUCCGCUGCCCUCUUUAUUCUCAAGGAUGCUUGCAGCCUCAGAAAUUGAGAGUGAUCUAAGACCUCUCUUUUUAUGUUAAAGAGGCUUCAAUAGGCCCCCAAAGCUGCCACGAGUUUUAAUUGUGCUGAUUAAAACCAGAGUACCAUGUACUGAUACUACAGGUGUAAGGGUAUUUAUUAUCACAACAAGAAAAAUCUGAAGAAACUGGAACCAUGUUAGAAAACCAAGAAGUCAUGU
Molecule: long non-coding RNA, 3274 nt
Organism: Marmota monax (woodchuck)
Lineage: Eukaryota; Metazoa; Chordata; Mammalia; Rodentia; Sciuridae
Exons: 3
Source: RefSeq, a predicted model, not a curated record